CUCCUUUAUUUACCCGCACGUAGUUUAAUUUUAGCCACAGUUCAUUUUAUUUUGUCCUCUUAAGUUACUUUACUCUCUCAUUUUAUCAUAUUGAUUUACUUACUUCCCGUUGAAACGCUUUGAGACUUGGACUGUAACUGAAGUAUAAGUAUAUAUUUACAUAGUUCAAGGCAGUGAAUUUGUAGUGUAGAAGCAAGCCAGUGAGGAAGGGGGUGGGGGUCUUCGUGCCAGCUUACGGAUGGGUGUGUGUACCUAUUUUGAAGAAGUUGUUGACCUAAAUUG
This 282-nucleotide long non-coding RNA is filed under the name Brassica rapa (field mustard). Its description in RNAcentral is "long non-coding RNA (BRAP_LNC006032)". Lineage: Eukaryota; Viridiplantae; Streptophyta; Magnoliopsida; Brassicales; Brassicaceae. The record is from RNAcentral.